RNAcentral lists this ribosomal RNA (429 nucleotides) under Pseudomonadota bacterium. RNAcentral describes it as "Proteobacteria bacterium partial 16S ribosomal RNA". It matches the Rfam family "Bacterial small subunit ribosomal RNA", at positions 355 to 776 of the family's 1533-position model. Lineage: Bacteria; Pseudomonadati; Pseudomonadota. The record is from RNAcentral.
UGGGGAAUAUUGGACAAUGGGCGAAAGCCUGAUCCAGCCAUGCCGCGUGUGUGAAGAAGGCCUUAUGGUUGUAAAGCACUUUAGCGAGGAGGAGGGUACUGGUAUUAAUACUACCAGCUACUGGACGUUACUCGCCGAAUAAGCACCGGCUAACUCUGUGCCAGCAGCCGCGGUAAUACAGAGGGUGCGAGCGUUAAUCGGAUUUACUGGGCGUAAAGCGUGCGUAGGCGGCUAAUUGAGUCGGAUGUGAAAUCCCCGAGCUUAACUUGGGAAUUGCAUUCGAUACUGGUUAGCUAGAGUGUGGGAGAGGAUGGUAGAAUUCCAGGUGUAGCGGUGAAAUGCGUAGAGAUCUGGAGGAAUACCGAUGGCGAAGGCAGCCAUCUGGCCUAACACUGACGCUGAGGUACGAAAGCAUGGGGAGCAAACAGG